GCGAAAGUGGCGGAACUGGUAGACGCGCCAGAUUUAGGAUCUGGUGGGGUAACCCGUGGGGGUUCGACUCCCCCUUCUCGCACCA
This 85-nucleotide transfer RNA is filed under the name Candidatus Latescibacterota bacterium. RNAcentral describes it as "Candidatus Latescibacteria bacterium (marine metagenome) tRNA-Leu". It matches the Rfam family "tRNA". From Rfam's summary of the family: Transfer RNA (tRNA) molecules are approximately 80 nucleotides in length. Their secondary structure includes four short double-helical elements and three loops (D, anti-codon, and T loops). Further hydrogen bonds mediate the characteristic L-shaped molecular structure. tRNAs have two regions of fundamental functional importance: the anti-codon, which is responsible for specific mRNA codon recognition, and the 3' end, to which the tRNAs corresponding amino acid is attached (by aminoacyl-tRNA synthetases). tRNAs cope with the degeneracy of the genetic code in two manners: having more than one tRNA (with a specific anti-codon) for a particular amino acid; and 'wobble' base-pairing, i.e. permitting non-standard base-pairing at the 3rd anti-codon position. The record is from RNAcentral. Lineage: Bacteria; Pseudomonadati; Candidatus Latescibacterota.